GAGUUUGAUUAUGGCUCAGGAUGAACGCUGGCGGUAUGCCUUAUACAUGCAAGUCGUACGAGAGUUUUUAGCUCAAGUGGCGGACGGGUGAGUAACACGUAAGAAUUUGCCUUUAGGAGGGGGACAACAACUGGAAACGGUUGCUAAUACCCCAUAUGCUUUCGAGUGAAAUGGUUUUUCCGCCUAAAGAGAAGCUUGCGGCUGAUUAGCUUGUUGGUAGAGUAAUAGCCUACCAAGGCGACGAUCAGUAUCUGGUUUGAGAGGACGAUCAGACACACUGGAACUGAGACACGGUCCAGACUCCUACGGGAGGCAGCAGUAGGGAAUUUUCCGCAAUGGGCGAAAGCCUGACGGAGCAAUACCGCGUGAGGGAUGACUGCCUAUGGGUUGUAAACCUCUUUUUUCAGGGAGGAAUAAAUGACGUGUACCUGAAGAAUAAGCAUCGGCUAACUCCGUGCCAGCAGCCGCGGUAAGACGGAGGAUGCAAGUGUUAUCCGGAAUCACUGGGCGUAAAGCGUCUGUAGGUGGUCAAAUAAGUCAACUGUUAAAUCUUGGGGCUCAACCUCAAAAUCGCAGUCGAAACUAUUAGGCUAGAGUAUAGUAGAGGUAAAGGGAAUUUCCAGUGGAGCGGUGAAAUGCGUAGAGAUUGGAAAGAACACCGAUGGCGAAGGCACUUUACUGGGCUAUUACUGACACUCAGAGACGAAAGCUAGGGUAGCAAAUGGGAUUAGAUACCCCAGUAGUCCUAGCCGUAAACAAUGGAUACUAGGUGUUGAACAGAUCGAUCUGUGCAGUACUAAAGCUAAUGCGUUAAGUAUCCCGCCUGGGAAGUAUGCACGCAAGUGUGAAACUCAAAGGAAUUGACGGGGGCCCGCACAAGCGGUGGAGCAUGUGGUUUAAUUCGAUGCAACGCGAAGAACCUUACCAGGGUUUGACAUGAUACGAAUUUCUUUGAAAAAAGAAAGUGCCUUUUGGAACGUAUACACAGGUGGUGCAUGGCUGUC
RNAcentral lists this ribosomal RNA (1004 nucleotides) under uncultured phototrophic eukaryote. Its description in RNAcentral is "bacterial SSU rRNA". It matches the Rfam family "Bacterial small subunit ribosomal RNA", at positions 9 to 1053 of the family's 1533-position model. The record is from RNAcentral.